GUAGGUCUGUCCUGCCCAGUGAUAAUAAUUCAACGGCCGCGGUACCUUGACCGUGCAAAGGUAGCAUAAUCAUUUGCCUUUUAAUUAAAGGCUAGUAUGAAUGGAUCCACAAGAAUAAAACUGUCUCAUUUCUAAAAUAAAUAUAAACUGAUAUCUAAAUGAAGAAGUUUAGAUACUAAUAAAGGACAAGAAGACCCUAUAGAGCUUUAUUAUUAUUUAGACAUACUAAUAUAAUAAAUUGAUUGGGACAAUCUUAAGACAUAUAAACCUCUUAUAAUUUAAAUAUACUACACCCUAACUUGUAAAUGAAUAAGCUACCUUAGGGAUAACAGGCUAAUCUUACUAAAGAGAUCACAUUGACAGUAAGGAUUGGCACCUCGAUGUUGGCUUAGUGUAACUAUAAGGUGCAGCCGCCUUAUUAAGUUGGUUUGUUCAACCAUUAAAUCACUACAUGAG
RNAcentral lists this ribosomal RNA (456 nucleotides) under Laeonereis culveri. RNAcentral's name for it is "partial 16S ribosomal RNA". It matches the Rfam family "Bacterial large subunit ribosomal RNA", at positions 1848 to 2604 of the family's 2925-position model. The record is from RNAcentral. Lineage: Eukaryota; Metazoa; Annelida; Polychaeta; Phyllodocida; Nereididae.